RNAcentral lists this ribosomal RNA (376 nucleotides) under uncultured Alphaproteobacteria bacterium. Its description in RNAcentral is "bacterial SSU rRNA". It matches the Rfam family "Bacterial small subunit ribosomal RNA", at positions 9 to 399 of the family's 1533-position model. The record is from RNAcentral. Lineage: Bacteria; Pseudomonadati; Pseudomonadota; Alphaproteobacteria.
GAGUUUGAUCAUGGCUCAGGGUAAACGCUGGCGGCGUGCCUAAAACAUGCAAGUCGAACGAGAGCUUCGGCUCUAGUGGCAGACGGCUGAGUAACGCGUGGGUGACAUACCCGUUGGUGGGAAUAACUGCCCGAAAGGGUGGCUAAUACCGCAUACGCCCGUUGGUUCAUUCCGAUGGGGAAAGUCGCAAGACGCCGAUGGACUGGCCCGCGUUCGAUUAGCUUGUUGGUGGGGUAACGGCCUACCAAGGCGACGAUCGAUAGCUGGUCUCAGAGGAUGAUCAGCCAGACUGGGACUGAGACACGGCCCAGACUCCUACGGGAGGCAGCAGUUAGGAAUUUUGGGCAAUGGGCGAAAGCCUGACCCAGCAACGCCG